This 497-nucleotide ribosomal RNA is filed under the name Streptococcus mutans. RNAcentral describes it as "bacterial SSU rRNA". It matches the Rfam family "Bacterial small subunit ribosomal RNA", at positions 28 to 500 of the family's 1533-position model. Lineage: Bacteria; Bacillati; Bacillota; Bacilli; Lactobacillales; Streptococcaceae. The record is from RNAcentral.
GACGAACGCUGGCGGCGUGCCUAAUACAUGCAAGUGGGACGCAAGGGAACACACUGUGCUUGCACACCGUGUUUUCUUGAGUCGCGAACGGGUGAGUAACGCGUAGGUAACCUGCCUAUUAGCGGGGGAUAACUAUUGGAAACGAUAGCUAAUACCGCAUAAUAUUAAUUAUUGCAUGAUAAUUGAUUGAAAGAUGCAAGCGCAUCACUAGUAGAUGGACCUGCGUUGUAUUAGCUAGUUGGUAAGGUAAGAGCUUACCAAGGCGACGAUACAUAGCCGACCUGAGAGGGUGAUCGGCCACACUGGGACUGAGACACGGCCCAGACUCCUACGGGAGGCAGCAGUAGGGAAUCUUCGGCAAUGGACGAAAGUCUGACCGAGCAACGCCGCGUGAGUGAAGAAGGUUUUCGGAUCGUAAAGCUCUGUUGUAAGUCAAGAACGUGUGUGAGAGUGGAAAGUUCACACAGUGACGGUAGCUUACCAGAAAGGACGGCUAA